GAUGAACGCUGGCGGCGUGCCUAAUACAUGCAAGUCGAGCGAACGGACGAGAAGCUUGCUUUUCUGAUGUUAGCGGCGGACGGGUGAGUAACACGUGGAUAACCUACCUAUAAGACUGGGAUAACUUCGGGAAACCGGAGCUAAUACCGGAUAAUAUUUUGAACCGCAUGGUUCAAAAGUGAAAGACGGUCUUGCUGUCACUUAUAGAUGGAUCCGCGCUGCAUUAGCUAGUUGGUAAGGUAACGGCUUACCAAGGCAACGAUGCAUAGCCGACCUGAGAGGGUGAUCGGCCACACUGGAACUGAGACACGGUCCAGACUCCUACGGGAGGCAGCAGUAGGGAAUCUUCCGCAAUGGGCGAAAGCCUGACGGAGCAACGCCGCGUGAGUGAUGAAGGUCUUCGGAUCGUAAAACUCUGUUUUUAGGGAAGAACAUAUGUGUAAGUAACUGUGCACAUCUUGACGGUACCUAAUCAGAAAGCCACGGCUAACUACGUG
RNAcentral lists this ribosomal RNA (497 nucleotides) under uncultured bacterium. Its description in RNAcentral is "partial 16S ribosomal RNA". It matches the Rfam family "Bacterial small subunit ribosomal RNA", at positions 28 to 507 of the family's 1533-position model. The record is from RNAcentral.